RNAcentral lists this small nucleolar RNA (80 nucleotides) under Bacillus pumilus ATCC 7061. The record is from RNAcentral. Lineage: Bacteria; Bacillati; Bacillota; Bacilli; Caryophanales; Bacillaceae.
CUACAUGAUGAUAGCGAGCGCGUAUAAUCAAUUCUUUUCACACAUCUAUUCAUUUUAUUGAUGAAAGACAUGUCAUGAUG